GAUGAACGCUAGCGGCAGGCCUAAUACAUGCAAGUCGAACGAUACUUUCCAGCUUGCUGGAAAGGAAAGUGGCGCACGGGUGCGUAACGCGUAUGCAACCUACCUUAAUCAGGGGGAUAGCCCGAAGAAAUUCGGAUUAACACCGCAUAAAAUCACAGUACAGCAUUGCACAAUGAUCAAAUAUUAAUAGGAUUAAGAUGGGCAUGCGUGACAUUAGCUAGUUGGCGGGGUAACGGACCACCAAGGCGACGAUGUCUAGGGGAUCUGAGAGGAUGACACCCCACACUGGUACUGAGACACGGACCAGACUCCUACGGGAGGCAGCAGUAAGGAAUAUUGGUCAAUGGAGGCAACUCUGAACCAGCCAUGCCGCGUGCAGGAAGACAGCCCUCUGGGUCGUAAACUGCUUUUAUUCGGGAAUAAACCUACUUACGUGUAAGUAGCUGAAUGUACCGAAGGAAUAAGGAUCGGCUAACUCCGUGCCAGCAGCCGCCGUAA
This 498-nucleotide ribosomal RNA is filed under the name uncultured bacterium. RNAcentral describes it as "partial 16S ribosomal RNA". It matches the Rfam family "Bacterial small subunit ribosomal RNA", at positions 28 to 523 of the family's 1533-position model. The record is from RNAcentral.